This 624-nucleotide ribosomal RNA is filed under the name Triticum aestivum (bread wheat). RNAcentral describes it as "partial small subunit ribosomal RNA". The record is from RNAcentral. Lineage: Eukaryota; Viridiplantae; Streptophyta; Magnoliopsida; Poales; Poaceae.
AUGAUGUUCCGGACCGAGUAUAUGUGCAGACUACUGAAUGUGUCCAGGCUUUCUGCAUUCGGUAUGCAGGUGGCAAAGUUGGUUCUUGAAAAUGUUCAGAACGAUCUUGAUCCACUGGAGAGCAUGAACCAUGUAUACCCAGACCUCUUCUCAGCAUGCAUGAAGUUAUCGGCAGAACUGAAUGAACUCUAUCCCAACUGGAAUUUCUACUUCACAAACGUGGCGCAACAUGGCAGCAACGUGACCACGGAGAUGCACGAAGCCAGUCUAGGCUGCGAGACCGGCACGAACAACCCCCUCGUCAACUUCAUGAUGAGCAGAUUCCUUCGUCCGAGUGCUGGGAUCGACGUGAUCCUUGCCAAGGGUGACGCACCUGGUCCCUGCUCAACCAUCCAUUCACCCACUGCUUCGGGAGAUAGAUGGAUGGACCCUGAAAUGGACACUGUAACAGCCCUCAAGGAAAAGACGGCACAACCUUGUUCCCCACUUGGCCACUUCAAGUGGGGUGGUGAGGCUCCUUUCGGGUCCAAGUCGGCAAUGGGUCGACCGGUCGACUGUGUGCGAGGCGCAAGAGCGUCAUGGCGCCUCGGUGGAUCCAUUGACCUGGUGAUUCAGCUUGGAUGA